UCUAGAGGCUUCGACAAUGCCCGAAAGGGUGAUCGAGCGACGCCGCGUGUGGGAUGAAGGUUUUCGGAUUGUAAACCACUUUUGUUUGGGAAGAAGGCUUGUAUCGUGAAUAUGAGAUUGACGGUACCAAACGAAUAAGCCCCGGCUAACUCCGUGCCAGCAGCCGCGGUAAGACGGAGGGGGCAAGCGUUGUUCGGAAUCAUUGGGCGUAAAGGGCUCGUAGGCGGACUAGCAAGUCUGGCGUGAAAUCUCCACCGCUCACCGGGGAGAGGUCGCUGGAUACUACUAGUCUUGAGUUCGGUAGAGGAUUGUGGAAUUUCGGGUGUAGCGGUGGAAUGCGUAGAUAUCCGAAAGAACACCGGUGGCGAAGGCGGCAAUCUGGGCCUGAACUGACGCUGAGGAGCGAAAGCUAGGGGAGCAAACGGG
Molecule: ribosomal RNA, 426 nt
Filed under: Acidobacteriota bacterium
Lineage: Bacteria; Pseudomonadati; Acidobacteriota
Description: Acidobacteria bacterium partial 16S ribosomal RNA
Rfam family: Bacterial small subunit ribosomal RNA
Source: RNAcentral